Non-coding RNA from Ictidomys tridecemlineatus (thirteen-lined ground squirrel), 1120 nucleotides. The record is from RefSeq and is a predicted model, not a curated record. Lineage: Eukaryota; Metazoa; Chordata; Mammalia; Rodentia; Sciuridae.
CAAAGGCAAGGCAUCGGCUCAGCUCUACUGAGGACCUCAUGGUGGAAUGAUGUCACAAUGCCAGGAGCUCUAAUGGGAAGAGACCACUUCUCCAAACAGGAAGCCAGAAAGACUGGGUGGAGCCAAGCUCAGGCUGAACCCAUCCAGGACACCAUGUCACAACUACUUUUUAUGUCUCCUCUGGCUCCUGGUGGCUAGCGCUGUUUUAAUCUCUGUUCUGCAGAGCCUGAGGCCUUCUGCAGAGUUUCUUUGAAAUUACAGCUCAAUAUUUUCAAGCACUUAUCCAAACAGCCUAAUGUUCUGAUGGCUCAUAGCCGUGUUUCAAGGCAAUAAACAUCUCUGUUUUCUGUGCCGCUGAAGGAACUGCUGCCUAGCCUCCUGCCAGAUGACUAAUUGGGGACGCAGGAGCAUUUUUCCAGGUAGGCUUUUAAUGUUGGCUGAAUGAAAUCAGAAAUGAAGAAGAGCUGCCUUACGAGCUUGCCGCUUCAGGACAAACAUUUGCAGAGAUGUAGUAGAAACAUUAAACACAUCGCAUUUUCCAGUUUUCCAGAUGGUUCUAAUGUGCAGCCAGAAUCGAGAGUCACGCUGAUCAUGAAAACUCAAGGAGCAAGCCCUGGCUUACAAGCCCUGGAGAGUGUGCUUCUCUUGGAGUUCUGGAAGAGCAGAAUCACUUCUUUCUGGACCUCCUUGAGUCACCACUGAGGCAUUUGCAAACUAAGUCAACACCGAUAUUUUUUAUUCACCAAAGGAGAACAAAGCAUCUGCUAAAAGAAGCAGCUUGAUAAAUAGUGGAAAAAGCAUGGAAUUCAGAGGACUUGCAUUUAAAGCUUCUGUUCAUGACUUACUCCUAACCUGCCACUGACUAAUCUUUCUGAGUUUCUCUUUCUUUAUCUGCAAAAUGGGGUUAAUGGAGGAUUUCAUCUGCAAAGUGGGGAUAAUAGAGAUUGAAAAAGAUGACGCCAGCACAUUAUUCCCAAAAUAAACACGAAUUCUGUCUUAACAAUAAUAUUAUGACUGUGUGGUGACAACCAAAACUUUUCUCCUUUUGCCGUCAGAAAUGUCCUUGGCAGAUUUUACAUUCUUGUUCAUAUUGCUUUUUCUUUGGUGGUGCUCCAGAACA